GAACGGGUGAGUAAUGUAUCGGAACGUGCCCAGUCGUGGGGGAUAACUGCUCGAAAGAGCAGCUAAUACCGCAUACGACCUGAGGGUGAAAGCGGGGGAUCGCAAGACCUCGCGCGAUUGGAGCGGCCGAUAUCAGAUUAGGUAGUUGGUGAGGUAAAGGCUCACCAAGCCGACGAUCUGUAGCUGGUCUGAGAGGACGACCAGCCACACUGGGACUGAGACACGGCCCAGACUCCUACGGGAGGCAGCAGUGGGGAAUUUUGGACAAUGGGCGCAAGCCUGAUCCAGCCAUGCCGCGUGCGGGAAGAAGGCCUUCGGGUUGUAAACCGCUUUUGUCAGGGAAGAAAAGGUUCUGGCUAAUACCUGGGACUCAUGACGGUACCUGAAGAAUAAGCACCGGCUAACUACGUGCCAGCAGCCGCGGUAAUACGUAGGGUGCAAGCGUUAAUCGGAAUUACUGGGCGUAAAGCGUGCGCAGGCGGUUAUGCAAGACAGAGGUGAAAUCCCCGGGCUCAACCUGGGAACUGCCUUUGUGACUGCAUGGCUAGAGUACGGUAGAGGGGGACGGAAUUCCGCGUGUAGCAGUGAAAUGCGUAGAUAUGCGGAGGAACACCGAUGGCGAAGGCAAUCCCCUGGACCCUGUACUACGCUCUCACGAG
Molecule: ribosomal RNA, 659 nt
Filed under: uncultured bacterium
Lineage: Bacteria
Description: bacterial SSU rRNA
Rfam family: Bacterial small subunit ribosomal RNA
Source: RNAcentral